AUUAUACUCCGUCCGUCCGGAAAUACUUGUCAGAGAAAUAGAUGUAUCUAGAUGUAUUUUAGUUCUAGAUACAUAUAUUUUUAUCCAUUUCUGCAACAAAUAAUUCCGGAGGGAGGGAGUAUUGG
Molecule: non-coding RNA, 125 nt
Organism: Triticum urartu
Lineage: Eukaryota; Viridiplantae; Streptophyta; Magnoliopsida; Poales; Poaceae
Source: Rfam